UCUUCCCUCUGGCGGCGUGCCUAAUACAUGCAAGUCGAGCGAACAGACGAGGAGCUUGCUCCUUCGACGUUAGCGGCGGACGGGUGAGUAACACGUAGGUAACCUACCUAUAAGACUGGGAUAACUUCGGGAAACCGGAGCUAAUACCGGAUAAUAUUUCGAACCGCAUGGUUCGAUAGUGAAAGAUGGCUUUGCUAUCACUUAUAGAUGGACCUGCGCCGUAUUAGCUAGUUGGUAAGGUAACGGCUUACCAAGGCAACGAUACGUAGCCGACCUGAGAGGGUGAUCGGCCACACUGGAACUGAGGCACGGUCCAGACUCCUACGGGAGGCAGCAGUAGGGAAUCUUCCGCAAUGGGCGAAAGCCUGACGGAGCAACGCCGCGUGAGUGAUGAAGGUCUUCGGAUCGUAAAACUCUGUUAUUAGGGAAGAACAAACGUGUAAGUAACUGUGCACGUCUUGACGGUACCUAAUCAGAAAGCCACGGCUAACUACGUG
RNAcentral lists this ribosomal RNA (497 nucleotides) under uncultured bacterium. RNAcentral's name for it is "partial 16S ribosomal RNA". It matches the Rfam family "Bacterial small subunit ribosomal RNA", at positions 36 to 507 of the family's 1533-position model. The record is from RNAcentral.